This is a long non-coding RNA of Esox lucius (northern pike), 421 nucleotides long. Lineage: Eukaryota; Metazoa; Chordata; Actinopteri; Esociformes; Esocidae. The record is from Ensembl.
UUCCGUCUUUGUUUGUUGGUAUGUGUGCCUGGUGCGUCUGUUCCAUGUCUGUCCUGGUGUUGUGUUCUGGUUGUCCGGGCAACGAGGCGGGGCGGGGUGUUCCCCACCUGACAGUCAUUAUCCACUCUCACACCUGUUCCUGAUCUGCAAUCCACCACAGCAUUUAGGAGAGUGUAGUAUUUGUGGAGAUAUAAUAACACACAGACACUGCGCCAAGACAAACCCGACAACUGCACGCACCUGUUUGUCACCCUGGACCUCGGAGCCGCCCUGCACCUAGAUUCCACGCCAACCCACAGCCACUCGGCCCACCCCCCUGACACUGUUGUUAUACCUACUGCCAUGAUGAAUGAAGCCCAGUCAAUGUCAUUGUCAUUUAUGCUUGAAACCAUCUCAUAUAUAAUAAAAUAGAAAUUAAUUA